RNAcentral lists this ribosomal RNA (451 nucleotides) under uncultured bacterium. Its description in RNAcentral is "bacterial SSU rRNA". It matches the Rfam family "Bacterial small subunit ribosomal RNA", at positions 354 to 796 of the family's 1533-position model. The record is from RNAcentral.
GUGAGGAAUAUUGCGCAAUGGGGGAAACCCUGACGCAGCAAUGCCGCGUGGGUGAAGAAGGCCUUCGGGUCGUAAAGCCCUGUCAGGCGGGAAGAAUAGCCUCUGGGUUAACAGCCGAGAGGUGUGACGGUACCGCCGAAGGAAGCACCGGCUAACUCCGUGCCAGCAGCCGCGGUAAGACGGAGGGUGCGAGCGUUAUUCGGAAUCAUUGGGCGUAAAGGGCGUGCAGGCGGCCGGUUAAGUCAGACGUGAAAGCCCAAGGCUCAACCUUGGAAGUGCGUUUGAUACUGAUCGGCUUGAGUCCGGGAGAGGGAAGCGGAAUUCCGGGUGUAGAGGUGAAAUUCGUAGAUAUCCGGAGGAACACCGGUGGCGAAGGCGGCUUCCUGGACCGAGACUGACGCUGAGACGCGAAAGCGUGGGGAGCAAACAGGAUUAGAAACCCUUGUAGUCC